RNAcentral lists this ribosomal RNA (490 nucleotides) under uncultured bacterium. RNAcentral describes it as "bacterial SSU rRNA". It matches the Rfam family "Bacterial small subunit ribosomal RNA", at positions 899 to 1397 of the family's 1533-position model. The record is from RNAcentral.
ACUCAAAUGAAUAGACGGGGGCCCGCACAAGCAGUGGAUUAUGUGGUUUAAUUCGACGCAACGCGAAGAACCUUACCAGGUCUUGACAUCGUGCGCAUUACCAUGAGAAUGGGAAGUCCUUCGGGACGCACAGACAGGUGGUGCAUGGUUGUCGUCAGCUCGUGUCGUGAGAUGUUGGGUUAAGUCCCGCAACGAGCGCAACCCCUAUUAUUAGUUGCUACGCAAGAGCACUCUAAUGAGACUGCCGUUGACAAAACGGAGGAAGGUGGGGAUGACGUCAAAUCAUCAUGCCCCUUAUGACCUGGGCUACACACGUAAUACAAUGGCAAUUAACAACGGGAAGCAAAGCGGCGACGCAGAGCAAAUCCCCAAAAAUUGUCUCAGUUCGGAUUGCAGGCUGAAACUCGCCUGUAUGAAGUCGGAAUUGCUAGUAAUCGCGGAUCAGAAUGCCGCGGUGAAUACGUUCCCGGGCCUUGUACACACCGCCCGU